UCUCUGAUAGUAUAUCGGUUAGUACACGCGCCUGUCAUGUCUGUUCAAGGUUAAAGCUGCGCGCGAAAGCUGGGUUCGACUCCCAGUCAGAGAG
Molecule: non-coding RNA, 94 nt
Organism: Hymenopellis radicata
Lineage: Eukaryota; Fungi; Basidiomycota; Agaricomycetes; Agaricales; Physalacriaceae
Source: the annotation of a GenBank genome assembly